AUUGAACGCUGGCGGCAGGCCUAACACAUGCAAGUCGAGCGGUAGAGAGGUGCUUGCAUCUCUUGAGAGCGGCGGACGGGUGAGUAAUGCCUAGGAAUCUGCCUAGUGGUGGGGGAUAACGUUCGGAAACGGACGCUAAUACCGCAUACGUCCUACGGGAGAAAGCGGGGGAUCUUCGGACCUCGCGCCAUUAGAUGAGCCUAGGUCGGAUUAGCUAGUUGGUGAGGUAAUGGCUCACCAAGGCGACGAUCCGUAACUGGUCUGAGAGGAUGAUCAGUCACACUGGAACUGAGACACGGUCCAGACUCCUACGGGAGGCAGCAGUGGGGAAUAUUGGACAAAUGGGCGAAAGCCUGAUCAGCCAUGCCGCGUGUGUGAAGAAGGUCUUCGGAUUGUAAAG
This 400-nucleotide ribosomal RNA is filed under the name uncultured bacterium. Its description in RNAcentral is "bacterial SSU rRNA". It matches the Rfam family "Bacterial small subunit ribosomal RNA", at positions 30 to 430 of the family's 1533-position model. The record is from RNAcentral.